GAUGAACGCUGGCGGCGUGCCUAAUACAUGCAAGUCGAGCGAUCAGACGAGAACCUUGCUCCUCUGACGUUAGCGGCGGACGGGUGAGUAACACGUGGGUAACCUACCUAUAAGACUGGGAUAACUUCGGGAAACCGGAGCUAAUACCGGAUAAUAUAUUUAACGGCAUGGUUGUAUAGUGAAAGACGGUUUUGCUGUCACUUAUAGAUGUAUCCGCGUCGCAUUAGCUAGUUGGUAAGCUAACGGCUUACCAAGGGAACGAUGGGUAGGCGACCUGGGAGGGUGAUCGGCCACCCUGGAGCGGAGACACGGUCCAGGCUCCUACGGGAGGCAGCAGUAGGGAAUCGUCCGCAAAGGGCGAAAGUCUGACGGAGCAACGCCGCGUGAGUGAUGAAGGUCUUCGGAGCGGAAAACUCUGUUAUUAGUGAAGAACAAAUGUGUAAGUAACUAUGCACUUCUUGACGGUACCUAAUCAGAAAGCCACGGCUAACUACGUG
RNAcentral lists this ribosomal RNA (497 nucleotides) under uncultured bacterium. RNAcentral describes it as "partial 16S ribosomal RNA". It matches the Rfam family "Bacterial small subunit ribosomal RNA", at positions 28 to 507 of the family's 1533-position model. The record is from RNAcentral.